Chinchilla lanigera (long-tailed chinchilla) is the source of this 410-nucleotide long non-coding RNA. RefSeq lists it as uncharacterized. The transcript is spliced from 4 exons. Lineage: Eukaryota; Metazoa; Chordata; Mammalia; Rodentia; Chinchillidae. The record is from RefSeq and is a predicted model, not a curated record.
GCUGUAAUUAUUCCUGCUGGAAAUAUAAGGGAACCAGCUAAAAAAAUGGAAUACUCUGAAUUUGGACCAAAAAAGUCAUAAAGAAAAGGCUUGAAAUGUUAGAAAAGAAUGUCCAUAUGUUUGAGUCCAAUGAGGAACCCUUUGUAGUUUGGGGAAAACUGACUUCUCAUACCUACAAAUGGAAGGAAGACUGCAAGAACUAUUAUUCUAGAAGUUUUGUCCAGUUACAGAAGCAUCACUCGUUUGUUACCACUUGGACACUAUACACAUUCAGUGAGAAACUGCCACUAAGAUUGGCCAGAACUCCAAAGAUUUUCAGCCUUGUAAUUGGAACAUUUGCUCAUCUCACUGUUGAUUGCUGGCCUCAGUUGAAGACCCCUGAAGCAUGACAGGUGGCCCCAUCAGCCAAG